RNAcentral lists this transfer RNA (587 nucleotides) under Tannerella serpentiformis. RNAcentral's name for it is "Tannerella sp. oral taxon HOT-286 16S-23S intergenic spacer region". The stretch from base 297 to 370 matches the Rfam family "tRNA". Lineage: Bacteria; Pseudomonadati; Bacteroidota; Bacteroidia; Bacteroidales; Tannerellaceae. The record is from RNAcentral.
CGGAGUUCAGAAAGAUUUCCCGAUUUUUCUAUAGUAUUCUCAGGNAGAGUACUUAGUUUGAGGUAUGGUGCUACUUUUCUUGUUUGCAUGUUAUAAAUAGAAGAAUUAAAAGAAGCUGGGUUAGCUUGAUUCUUGGAUGUUCGCAAACGAUCACCAUGAUGAGGCUAAAGAAGAAGUUUUCCAUAUUCCCGGCGGAAGUUGAAAGAGAGUCCUAUAGCUCAGUUGGUUAGAGCGCUACACUGAUAAUGUAGAGGUCGGCAGUUCAACUUUGCCUGGGACUACUUAAGGGAUAAUAUGGGGGAUUAGCUCAGCUGGCUAGAGCACCUGCUUUGCAAGCAGGGGGUCAACGGUUCGAAUCCGUUAUUCUCCACAUUGAUUAUCAGAGCCUAUAUUUGGGAAUUGAUAAGAAUGAGAUCUUUGACAUUGAUGGACAAAACAAAGUAAAGACUUCGUGUUGAAGUAAUAUGGGGAAAAGUAUCCUCAAGAGGAUAUUCUACUCAAGAUAGCUUCAAUGCAAAGGAGACUAAGAGAAAUUAAGGUGAAAAUCGAAAAGAAGAGCCUAUAGUUAAGACGGNAUUGUACGUUCA